CCUACGGGUCGCACCAGUGGGGAAUAUUGCACAAUGGGCGCAAGCCCGAUGCAGCCAUGCCGCGUGUAUGAAGAAGGCCUUCGGGUUGUAAAGUACUUUCAGCGGGGAGGAAGGUGUUGUGGUUAAUAACCACAGCAAUUGACGUUACCCGCAGAAGAAGCACCGGCUAACUCCGUGCCAGCAGCCGCGGUAAUGCGAAGGGUGCAAGCGUUAAUCGGAAUUACUGGGCGUAAAGCGCACGCUGGCGGUCUGUCAAGUCGGAUGUGAAAUCCCCGGGCUCAACCUGGGAACUGCAUUCGAAACUGGCAGGCUAGAGUCUUGUAGAGGGGGGUAGAAUUCCAGGUGUAGCGGUGUAAUGCGUAGAGAUCUGGAGGAAUACCGGUGGCGAAGGCGGCCCCCUGGACAAAGACUGACGCUCAGGUGCGAAAGCGUGGGGAGCAAACAGGAUUAGAUACCCUUGUAGUC
RNAcentral lists this ribosomal RNA (465 nucleotides) under uncultured bacterium. RNAcentral describes it as "bacterial SSU rRNA". It matches the Rfam family "Bacterial small subunit ribosomal RNA", at positions 338 to 795 of the family's 1533-position model. The record is from RNAcentral.